This 459-nucleotide ribosomal RNA is filed under the name uncultured bacterium. RNAcentral's name for it is "partial 16S ribosomal RNA". It matches the Rfam family "Bacterial small subunit ribosomal RNA", at positions 338 to 795 of the family's 1533-position model. The record is from RNAcentral.
CCUACGGGUGGCAGCAGUGAGGAAUAUUGGUCAAUGGGAGAGAUCCUAAACCAGCCAAGCCGCGUGAGGGAAGACGGCCCUCUGGGUUGUAAACCUCUUUUGUCGGAGAACAAAACCUGGGACGUGUUCCGGACUGCGUGUAUCCGAAGAAAAAGCAUCGGCUAACACCGUGCCAGCAGCCGCGGUAAUACGGAGGAUGCGAGCGUUAUCCGGUUUUAUUGGGGUUAAGGGGUGCGUAGGCGGUCCGUUAAGUCAGCGGUAAAAUUGCGGGGCUAAACCCCGUCGAGCCGUUGACACUGGCAGACUUGAGUUGGCGAGAGGUACGCGGAAUGCGCGGUGUAGCGGUGAAAUGCAGAGAUAUCGCGCAGAACUCCGAUUGCGAAGGCAGCGUACCGGAGCCAGACUGACGCUGAGGCACGAAAGCGUGGGGAUCGAACAGGAUUAGAUACCCCAGUAGUC